GAUGAACGCUGGCGGCGUGCCUAAUACAUGCAAGUCGAGCGAACAGACGAGAAGCUUGCUUCUCUGAUGUUAGCGGCGGACGGGUGAGUAACACGUGGAUAACCUACCUAUAAGACUGGGAUAACUUCGGGAAACCGGAGCUAAUACCGGAUGAUAUUUUGAACCGCAUGGUUCAAAAGUGAAAGACGGUCUUGCUGUCACUUAUAGAUGGAUCCGCGCUGCAUUAGCUAGUUGUUAAGGUAACGGCUUACCAAGGCAACGAUGCAUAGCCGACCUGAGAGGGUGAUCGGCCACACUGGAACUGAGACACGGUCCAGACUCCUACGGGAGGCAGCAGUAGGGAAUCUUCCGCAAUGGGCGAAAGCCUGACGGAGCAACGCCGCGUGAGUGAUGAAGGUCUUCGGAUCGUAAAACUCUGUUAUUAGGGAAGAACAUAUGUGUAAGUAACUGUGCACAUCUUGACGGUACCUAAUCAGAAAGCCACGGCUAACUACGUG
RNAcentral lists this ribosomal RNA (497 nucleotides) under uncultured bacterium. Its description in RNAcentral is "partial 16S ribosomal RNA". It matches the Rfam family "Bacterial small subunit ribosomal RNA", at positions 28 to 507 of the family's 1533-position model. The record is from RNAcentral.